Molecule: unclassified non-coding RNA, 274 nt
Filed under: Hevea brasiliensis (rubber tree)
Lineage: Eukaryota; Viridiplantae; Streptophyta; Magnoliopsida; Malpighiales; Euphorbiaceae
Source: RNAcentral
GCUUUCUAAACAACCAACAAGUCUUCAAUAAGAGCAAGCUAAGAUCAGUAAGUGUAGACACUAUAUUUUGUCUGGGUGCUUUCUCAAAUUGUAAUUAAAAAUAAUAAGAAAUAAAUUUCGAUUUAUUUUCCUAUAUGUUAGUUCAAAUUUCAAUCAAAUUUUUUGGAUUUUAAUUUUAAUUUUAAAAUGACCUUUUAAUUUCAAUUAUCAAGUUUAAUCAAUUCUCAAUUUCAAUUUAACUUUAACUUCGACCCCAAUCAAAUUUUAAUUAAUU